Sardina pilchardus (European sardine) is the source of this 346-nucleotide long non-coding RNA. RefSeq lists it as uncharacterized. The record is from RefSeq and is a predicted model, not a curated record. The transcript is spliced from 3 exons. Lineage: Eukaryota; Metazoa; Chordata; Actinopteri; Clupeiformes; Clupeidae.
GUAUGUAAUUGGUUUCUCUUCUACUUUUCAAUGCAGCUUUUUUCCAAAUGUCAAGCAUAAUGAAUGUAGUGAUAGACCUUUUCUUCCAGAAAGCAUAUCAAGGAAGAUGGAGGGUGACCGGAAGAAGACUUUAGCAUGUAGUGACAUCACCACCUGGCACUCGAGCGACGACUAGCUAGCCGUGAUGCGGCGCUGAUGGCGUGGGUUCCGGCCGCCCCGGACGAGGCUGCUAGAGACACACAUCCUCGUCUUGUGUCCUCUCCUCUGCUCCCACUUCCCUGGCACGCUGCCCACCACACUCUUCUGCCAUCUGCCCGCUUAAUAGAUCAGAGAUGAUAGACUGAUC